CCCAGCUUGUCAUGCUCGAGCACUUUUUCAAUGUGCUCCCCAACGAGAAGGCGACUACGCAUUCGUAUGUCAAUCCAUAUCAACUUUCGAUGCCAUUGACUGCGCCUACCAUGGUGACCACGGGUAACGGGGAAUCAGGCUUCGAUUCCGUACAGGGACCCUGACAAACGGCUUACACAUGCAAGCAAGGCAGCAGGCGCGCAAAUGACCCACUCCCGAUGCGGGAAGGUAGUGACG
Pelobates cultripes (western spadefoot toad) is the source of this 237-nucleotide non-coding RNA. The record is from the annotation of a GenBank genome assembly. Lineage: Eukaryota; Metazoa; Chordata; Amphibia; Anura; Pelobatidae.